Molecule: ribosomal RNA, 426 nt
Filed under: uncultured prokaryote
Description: bacterial SSU rRNA
Rfam family: Bacterial small subunit ribosomal RNA
Source: RNAcentral
UGGGGAAUUUUGCGCAAUGGGCGAAAGCCUGACGCAGCGACGCCGCGUGGGUGAUGAAGGCCUUCGGGUUGUAAAGCCCUGUGGGGAGGGAAGAAUAAGGGGCGGCUAAUACCCGCACCGAUGACGGUACCUCCUUAGCAAGCACCGGCUAACUCUGUGCCAGCAGCCGCGGUAAGACAGAGGGUGCAAACGUUGUUCGGAAUUACUGGGCGUAAAGCGCGUGUAGGCGGUCUAGCAAGUCGGAUGUGAAAGCCCUUGGCUCAACUGAGGAAGUGCAUUCGAAACUGCGAGACUUGAGUCCCGGAGAGGAUGGUGGAAUUCUCGGUGUAGAGGUGAAAUUCGUAGAUAUCGAGAGGAACACCGGUGGCGAAGGCGGCCAUCUGGACGGUGACUGACGCUGAGACGCGAAAGCAUGGGGAGCAAACA